AGCGAACGCUGGCGGCAGGCUUAACACAUGCAAGUCGAGCGGGCACUUCGGUGUCAGCGGCAGACGGGUGAGUAACACGUGGGAACGUACCCUUUGGUUCGGAAUAACGCUGGGAAACUAGCGCUAAUACCGGAUACGCCCUUUUGGGGAAAGGCUUGCUGCCGAAGGAUCGGCCCGCGUCUGAUUAGCUAGUUGGUGGGGUAAUGGCCUACCAAGGCGACGAUCAGUAGCUGGUCUGAGAGGAUGAUCAGCCACACUGGGACUGAGACACGGCCCAGACUCCUACGCGAGGCAGCAGUGGGGAAUAUUGGACAAUGGGCGCAAGCCUGAUCCAGCCAUGCCGCGUGAGUGAUGAAGGCCUUAGGGUUGUAAAGCUCUUUUGUCCGGGACGAUAAUGACGGUACCGGAAGAAUAAGCCCCGGCUAACUUCGUG
RNAcentral lists this ribosomal RNA (433 nucleotides) under uncultured bacterium. Its description in RNAcentral is "partial 16S ribosomal RNA". It matches the Rfam family "Bacterial small subunit ribosomal RNA", at positions 29 to 507 of the family's 1533-position model. The record is from RNAcentral.